CCUACGGGAGGCAGCAGUAGGGAAUCUUCCACAAUGGGCGAAAGCCUGAUGGAGCAACGCCGCGUGGGUGAUGAAGGUCUUCGGAUCGUAAAACCCUGUUGUUAGAGAAGAAAGUGAGUGAGAGUAACUGUUCACGUUUCGACGGUAUCUAACCAGAAAGCCACGGCUAACUACGGGCCAGCAGCCGCGGUAAUACGUAGGUGGCAAGCGUUAUCCGGAUUGAUUGGGCGUAAAGGGAACGCAGUCGGUCUUUUAAGUCUGAUGUGAAGGCCUUCGGCUUAACCGGAGUAGUGCAUUGGAAACUGGGAGACUUGAGUGCAGAAGAGGAGAGUGGAAUUCCAUGUGUAGCGGUGAAAUGCGUAGAUAUAUGGAAGAACACCAGUGGCGAAGGCGGCUUUCUGGACUGUAACUGACGCUGAGGUUCGAAAGCGUGGGUAGCAAACAGGAUUAGAUACCCCUGUAGUC
This 465-nucleotide ribosomal RNA is filed under the name uncultured bacterium. RNAcentral describes it as "partial 16S ribosomal RNA". It matches the Rfam family "Bacterial small subunit ribosomal RNA", at positions 338 to 795 of the family's 1533-position model. The record is from RNAcentral.